This is a non-coding RNA of Picea glauca (white spruce), 102 nucleotides long. The record is from Rfam. Lineage: Eukaryota; Viridiplantae; Streptophyta; Pinopsida; Pinales; Pinaceae.
GUUUCUAGGGAGACAUUUGAAAAAUUUGGAAUGAUGUAAAGAAGAUUAGCAUGGUAAGGGAGCAAGGAUGACAUGCAUAAAUUAAAAAAUAGUUCAAUUUUU